GUGGUUGUGGCCCAGUGGUAGAGCACUCAUCUAACAUGUGUGAGGCACUGGGUUCGAUCCUCAGCACCAUA
RNAcentral lists this transfer RNA (71 nucleotides) under Ictidomys tridecemlineatus (thirteen-lined ground squirrel). Its description in RNAcentral is "Spermophilus tridecemlineatus (thirteen-lined ground squirrel) tRNA". It matches the Rfam family "tRNA". From Rfam's summary of the family: Transfer RNA (tRNA) molecules are approximately 80 nucleotides in length. Lineage: Eukaryota; Metazoa; Chordata; Mammalia; Rodentia; Sciuridae. The record is from Rfam by way of RNAcentral.